This is a long non-coding RNA of Adelges cooleyi (spruce gall adelgid), 641 nucleotides long. RefSeq lists it as uncharacterized. The record is from RefSeq and is a predicted model, not a curated record. The transcript is spliced from 3 exons. Lineage: Eukaryota; Metazoa; Arthropoda; Insecta; Hemiptera; Adelgidae.
UUCACAGUAGAUAAACGAAAAAAUGAUUUGGAAAAUUAUAUUUUUGUUGCCGUGUUUUAACGUUUUAGUGAACGCUGGUCAACCUUCACCAUUUUUUGUAGAACCUCCAAGGCAGACCGCAGAACCGGUACCAUUUCGAACAUUACAUGAAUGGGAAGUAACCUUAGAAUUAACGACCAUUACAGAUUGGACUACUUUGACACAUGAACCUAAUCGUAGUCAAAUUGAAGUCGCAGUAAAUGCAUUGAAAUGGAGUAAAUGUCCAAUUAAUAUUUUGGAUAGGCUUGUUUGAAACAGUGGUAUACGUCAAUGGCCUGCUAAUUUAAAAAAUACAACUGGAACUGGCCUUAACAUAGCUAAUAUAAAUAACUUGAGAUGCAGACGUAUUCCAGGAGCACCAGUAGUAUACGUGGGCAAUUUUGAAAACCAUUUGGUGCCUGAGCCAGGAAUUUUAUUUAUUUUGGAAAUCAUUGAAUGAAUCGUGGAUUCUGAUUAAAAUCGACCCAGCAGAUUUUAAUUUCACCAUUCAAAAAACCAUAAAUUUUAAAAAUAUAUAUACUGAUAGUGAAAAAAUCUAAAUAUUUUAAACAAUAAUUACAUAUUAGUUGAUUUGUAAAUGAUUUUGUAAACCUAAUUUGCUU